UACGUAGGGGGCAAGCGUUGUCCGGAUUUAUUGGGCGUAAAGAGCGUGUAGGCGGCCAUACAGGUCCGUUGUGAAAACUGGAGGCUUAACCUCCAGACGUCGAUGGAAACCGUAUGGCUAGAGUCCGGAAGAGGAGAGUGGAAUUCCUGGUGUAGCGGUGAAAUGCGCAGAUAUCAGGAGGAACACCAACGGCGAAGGCAGCUCGCUGGGACGGUACUGACGCUGAGGCGCGAAAGCGUGGGGAGCGAACAGG
Molecule: ribosomal RNA, 253 nt
Filed under: uncultured bacterium
Lineage: Bacteria
Description: partial 16S ribosomal RNA
Rfam family: Bacterial small subunit ribosomal RNA
Source: RNAcentral